CGGAUACACUUAAUUAAAAUCUUUAGCAGUGUUCAACGUGUGGCACGUACUUAUAGAUUAAGAAUUUACGAUUCCUUCCUUGACAAUGAAUUUAGUUUAUGGACUAGUAAAGCAUGCAGAACUACAGUCCUAAAAUAAAAUACAAAGAACUUUCACUUAAUAAUUAAUUCUGAACAUGUAUGUACUGCAUCCUGGGGAUUAUUAAUUGAUAGGCUUGUAGGGAUUGUGCUUUAAUUACGGUACACUUUUCUGCCCACCAGUAAAAACAAGUCAGGUCAUAAGCUUUCAAUUAAGACAGAGAUCAAGGUUCUAGCCUCGUUAGUUUGAGAGUAAUCAUAUGACAGGCAUUAGAAUUUUAUAGGUAGACUUUCGGAUUUGGUAAUUAAGGUUAUUGGUUCUUUCAGUUUUGAUCCUUCUGUAUUUACCUACCAUGUAUCUAAUUUCAUUCAUCUCCAAAUGGAAUAUCACUACUAGAAAAGUACUCACAUUUCAGGGUUUUUGAUAUCGGAAGUAAAUGUCAGCUUUCCUUCUCAAUACCCUCCAAACACUUACUUAUGUAAUUGUGAAAAUAUGUCUGGUUUCGAAGACUUUCAGAGAUUAAGAGGUGACAUGAUUGAAGUGGGGAAGGCACAGUGGUGUAGUGGCAGUGCUGCUGCCUCACAGUAAAGUGACUGAGGUUUGCAUCCUGGGUUCUCCCUGCAUGGAGUUUACAUGUCCUGCCAAUGUUUAAUGGGCUUCCUCUGGAUGAUCCAUUUCCUCCAAAACCAUGCAGAUUAUGUGAUUUGGCAGGACUAAAUUGGCCUUAGUUUAUACCCAGUGAUUGUUGGACUUUCACUCAGUCCAGGGUUUGUUCCUGCCUUGUGCCCUGUGCAUGCUGGGAUAGGCUCCAACACCCCCGUGUGAGCCUGCCCUGGAUUAAAUGGGUUAGAAAAUGACACGACAUGGUUGAAAUGUUUAACAUUUUGAAUGAAUGGAGUUAGUACAAUAGGUCUCAGUUGUUACUUUAAAAUAAAUUCUGCAACAAGAACGCAAGGACACAGUUGAAAGCUGGUUAAGAGCAAUUUUCACAAAAAUGUUAGGUUUUUCUUCAGGGAAAGAACCAUAGACCCAAUGAAAUAAAUUACCAAUUAGUGUGGUGGAGAGUAGGACCCGCAGAUCUUGACUUGACUUUUGGUACAAUUGAGAUGAAUGGAUGGAUGAGAUUGUUGUGUGGAAUGGCCUGUUCUCAUCACAAUGUCCUAAUGUUCAAAAGCUCUAAGUACUAAACAAAAGGCAAGUUUACUAGCAUAAACCCCACCACUGACCCAGAAUGUAAUGCUGGGUGAGUCGGCUGUAAUGUCAGGGCUCCAGUUAUAGAAAUACAGAAGCCAUUAAACUACAGUGUGCCCAUAAAGCACGUUGGAAAAAAGUUCAAUAGAGAGGGGGGCUACAGGGUACAGUAUAAGAUGGCACCAAGUAAGGCUGUCGUGUAGCAAGCUCCCAUAUUCAGCAUUUACUGUGGACCUUGCUCACAAGUUUAUCACUCACAUUCAUGUUAAGUGAUGGGGCAAUAAAAGUGAUUUGACUUGACUUGAUAAGACUUCUUGUUCAAAAUUUCCAUUGACUCAUUAUGUGACCCUACAGAAGUCUUCCAUUUACAAGUUUAGAGCCGAUAACAUGUCAUUGCAUAUUCAUAUUCAAAGUAGGAGGCAACCACAUACAGCAGGGGUGUCAAACUCAGUUCCAGGAGGUCUACAUUGACUAUAGCCACUUUCUCCAUCAGUAGCCAGUUGCUGCUGCUAAUCAAACAGACUGCUUUGGGUUCAUUUUAACUGAUGUGCUUGUUAAGUCUCAGACCUCUUAAUUUUUUCUUUUAUUAUUGAUUAUCAGCUAAGAAAAAAAUGAAACUCAAAGUCAGCUAACUGAGAUCUAAAACAAGGACUUCAAAAUCCAAUUUUAUAAUCUGAAGCCAUUUCAUGUUACUUAGGAAACCUGUUAUUUAAAUUCCAUGGCUUGUUGGUUCAAGCAGGUCCUCCAUCUUGCAGGGAAAACUUGAACGUUGGUGGCUGGAUUUUCACUACAGUCACUGUAAAAAAACUCACACUUUUCCAUUCCAUUCAAACUAGUGCGGUUGCACAGCUACACUCAGGUCCUGAUUUGGGAUCCUGAGGUGGUUCGUCAUGUGGUGGGUGCAGCAGCAUGCUGUGCCAAUGCGUGAUACCCAACCUCUCUCUCCUCUCUCUUUCACCUGAUGGACACACAGUACAUGUACAUAUCAGAUCAGCUUGUCGUGUUGGCUCACUUUGCAUAUCAUUGAGUAUGCACAGAAAUCUGGUUUCUAAACCCUUAUUCUGAAUAUUUUGAGAAAUCAGGUUAACACAUGUAUAUUUUUCUGUCAGUAACCCGGCUAUUUGGCUGUGUAAACCUUUAACUGGGUUAAAGUUAAUGAUUUCUUAGUGUCUCUUUGCUUCACACAUGCUUUCUACUGGUAGAAGAUGGUCGAAGUGUCCGCAAGAUAAAUCUCCUGAGGCAAAUGCUUGGGCGAUUACAUUACUCCUUCUCCAGGUUGAAAUUUGUUGUUGUUCAAUGCCAUCCUUCUAUGGAUUGGUCGGUGGCUAUUUCACGCUCUCUCUGGGGCUAAUGAGAUGGUAGGCAUUCGACUCUUUCCACCACACAGAUAGCAAGCCAUUUCCUUGUUUGACCAGGUAUUAAACCUGCUAUUGGCUCUAGUUGGUUGUUGCCUACUCAAGAUGGUCCUCUGUCUAACAUAACACGAGACCUGCUGCUGCGCGAGUCUUCGCCACACUCAUUGGCUGACAUUUUCAGGAUUCCUGUUGAGCCUGUCCACCUUGUGUAGCACCCUAGGUGGUACGUUGGUUACUGCUAACCGCUGAUGGCAUAGCCCCAACAGACAAUCCCCUACUUAGUCAUUCACUCCUUCACCACACUAAGGUGAGAGUCGAUCUUUGAUGGAGCCUGAUUGAAAUUAUCUGUAUAAAUAUUUCAGAAAUCGCUAUAUAUACUCAUUCUAUUGAAGUAAAAAUACCAGCAUUAUUGUUAUGUCAGCAGUACUAGAAGCUGCUCCUUUGCAGGGUUCAAUUGUAUAGCCAAGCAGAACAGAGUGUGUUGCAUGCAGUCUGCUAAGAGAAACAUAUUAAUAAAGUGUCAGUUCUGCUUUAAUCCAGUUAUCUGCUAUAGAUAUGCUGAAAACACUGUGACUGGGUGAUGUAGUGGUUAGUGUCCAUAUUUCGGAUCUUCUGUUGUUCAGGUUAAGGAUGUAAAAAGGGGAUGGAUGUUAUUUACUUCACAGCACAUAAAGGACUAAACAUAUUAAUAAAACAUG
This is a long non-coding RNA of Erpetoichthys calabaricus (reedfish), 3322 nucleotides long. RefSeq lists it as uncharacterized. Lineage: Eukaryota; Metazoa; Chordata; Cladistia; Polypteriformes; Polypteridae. The transcript is spliced from 3 exons. The record is from RefSeq and is a predicted model, not a curated record.